ACGAAGGGGGCUAGCGUUGUUCGGAAUUACUGGGCGUAAAGCGCACGUAGGCGGACAUUUAAGUCAGGGGUGAAAUCCCGCAGCUCAACUGCGGAACUGCCUUUGAUACUGGGUGUCUAGAGUAUGGAAGAGGUAAGUGGAAUUGCGAGUGUAGAGGUGAAAUUCGUAGAUAUUCGCAGGAACACCAGUGGCGAAGGCGGCUUACUGGUCCAUUACUGACGCUGAGGUGCGAAAGCGUGGGGAGCAAACAGGA
This 253-nucleotide ribosomal RNA is filed under the name uncultured prokaryote. Its description in RNAcentral is "partial 16S ribosomal RNA". It matches the Rfam family "Bacterial small subunit ribosomal RNA", at positions 525 to 777 of the family's 1533-position model. The record is from RNAcentral.